This 490-nucleotide ribosomal RNA is filed under the name Veillonella sp. oral taxon 780. RNAcentral's name for it is "bacterial SSU rRNA". It matches the Rfam family "Bacterial small subunit ribosomal RNA", at positions 28 to 491 of the family's 1533-position model. The record is from RNAcentral. Lineage: Bacteria; Bacillati; Bacillota; Negativicutes; Veillonellales; Veillonellaceae.
GACGAACGCUGGCGGCGUGCUUAACACAUGCAAGUCGAACGGACGACGAGAGAGCUUGCUCUCUUGAAGUUAGUGGCGAACGGGUGAGUAACGCGUAAUCAACCUGCCCUUCAGAGGGGGAUAACAACGGGAAACCGUUGCUAAUACCGCGUACGAUUCAUAGACGGCAUCGUUUGUGAAUGAAAGGUGGCCUCUAUUUAUAAGCUAUCGCUGAAGGAGGGGAUUGCGUCUGAUUAGCUAGUUGGAGGGGUAACGGCCCACCAAGGCAAUGAUCAGUAGCCGGUCUGAGAGGAUGAACGGCCACAUUGGGACUGAGACACGGCCCAAACUCCUACGGGAGGCAGCAGUGGGGAAUCUUCCGCAAUGGACGAAAGUCUGACGGAGCAACGCCGCGUGAGUGAUGAAGGUCUUCGGAUUGUAAAGCUCUGUUAAUCGGGACGAAAGAGUUCUGUGUGAAUAAUGCAGAAAAGUGACGUACCGGAAUAGAAGC